This 295-nucleotide long non-coding RNA is filed under the name Carica papaya (papaya). RNAcentral's name for it is "long non-coding RNA (CPAP_LNC009653)". Lineage: Eukaryota; Viridiplantae; Streptophyta; Magnoliopsida; Brassicales; Caricaceae. The record is from RNAcentral.
AACUCCGUUUCCUUUAGGUGUCGGAUGUGCUCAGGGAGAUACUCCGCAUGGAAGGCAGCUAGGAACUGCUCCCAAGUGACUGGUGUAGGCAGGGUGGUCUGCUUGAGCUCCCACCAACGUCUUGCUUCUCCUACCAGCAUGAAGGAAGCAAGGGCAGCUCUCUGCUCAGGAACUACUCCCAAGAUCCUGAAAGCUCUCUCAGUCUCCGCCAGCCAGUACUGGGCCUCUUCAAAAGAGGAUCCCCCUGCAAAAGUGGAAGGGUUCAGUCUCCUGUACCUCUCUAUGUAGCCUGGGU